RNAcentral lists this ribosomal RNA (445 nucleotides) under uncultured bacterium. RNAcentral describes it as "bacterial SSU rRNA". It matches the Rfam family "Bacterial small subunit ribosomal RNA", at positions 331 to 792 of the family's 1533-position model. The record is from RNAcentral.
CCAGACUCCUACGGGAGGCAGCAGUGGGGAAUAUUGCGCAAUGGGCGAAAGCCUGACGCAGCGACGCCGCGUGAGGGAUGAAGGUCUUCGGAUCGUAAAGCUCUAUCAGCAGGGAAUAGAAAAGAAGGUACCUGAAAAAGAAGCCCCGGCUAACUACGUGCCAGCAGCCGCGGUAAUACGUAGGGGGCAAGCGUUAUCCGGAAUUACUGGGUGUAAAGGGUGAGUAGGCGGCAUGGUAAGCCAGAUGUGAAAGCCUUGGGCUUAACCCGAGGAUUGCAUUUGGAACUAUCAAGCUAGAGUACAGGAGAGGAAAGCGGAAUUCCUAGUGUAGCGGUGAAAUGCGUAGAUAUUAGGAAGAACACCAGUGGCGAAGGCGGCUUUCUGGACUGAAACUGACGCUGAGGCACGAAAGCGUGGGGAGCGAACAGGAUUAGAUACCCGAGUA